Octopus bimaculoides (California two-spot octopus) is the source of this 1252-nucleotide long non-coding RNA. RefSeq lists it as uncharacterized. Lineage: Eukaryota; Metazoa; Mollusca; Cephalopoda; Octopoda; Octopodidae. The record is from RefSeq and is a predicted model, not a curated record.
CUCUUAUUACGUUUUACGGCCGUGUAAAUUUUGAUUACGGCAGCACUAAGAGAAAAAUUUAAAUGGAUUAACGAUCCCUAUAUGGGAAAAGGUCUUUGGUGGUAAAAUACGAGGAGGUGCUAAAAAGUUCCUGCCUUUGAGUACAAAGAAGUACAGGAGGAUCAGGUGCUGUCCCAGUAAUUUUUCGAAGGGAGUGCACAAGAUCAAAAGGGAAUACAAUUCCAGGAGAAAAGGGCAUAACAUUAUUUAGAAGGGCGCACUUCUUUUUUUGAGGGAGUACGUGCCCCUCAGCCCCACCCUUUGAUUUCAAUUAUUAUUUUUAACAUUUUUAAAUUGAGAAAAAAAUUUUCCAUGAAGACCUGUUUUGUGUAAAAAACAAAAAAAAUAUUUCUUGUCUUUCUUCUGCUUUGGAUUUACCAAUCUGUUUUGUAUUUUCCGUAAUUAUUAUAUAAUCCUUAAUUGUAGUGUUGCCAAUUGAGUUGUCUAAUUCAGAAGGCUGUGUUUUGAGUGUGACAUCUGUUCCGCAUUAAUAGUUCAUAAUUGCAAUAACGUUGUACUGUGUUGGUUUUCGUUGUUGCUUUCUUUUGUUUUUGUUACUUGAACUUAAAGCAAUAAUGUUUUGUAACUGUUAUUAAAUUUUCUCUUUGUCGCUUGUUUUUUUUUUUAUGACAGAAGUUUUAAACUGAAAUUAAUGAACAAUACAAAGUCGGAGGAUAAGUUAACUUUGAAAACGUUGCCAAGAGGGUGGGAGAUCGUAAAGGAAAUGAAAAAGGUUGGACACCUUUGACCUAGGUUGUCUCUGUCCGUAGCAGCAGUAACAGUUCCAGAUGUGGGAGUAGUGUUCCGUUACUGGUUUACUCUGAGCUGUGUAAAGGGCAAUCAGUUGGAAAUAGUACUAAGGGAAGUAAAUAUUUUCUAUCCUUUUCUUUUUUCCUAUUCUAGGCACAAGGCCCGAAAUUUUGGGGGAGGGAGCCAGUCGAUUAGAUCGAUAUCAGUACGCAACUGGUACUUAAUUUAUCGACCCCGAAAGAAUGAAAAGCAAAGUCGACCUCGGCGGAAUUUGAACUCAGAACAUAAAGACAGACGAAAUACCGCCAAGCACUUCUGCCGACGUGCUAACGUUUCUGCCAGCUAAGAAGACGACGUCUUGGUGAUGUAGUCUUUACUAAGUUAAAGAUAUGCGUUCACCACGAGAGAUUUUCAAUGAUGAGAGAAAACUAGAAUUUGUGGUGACAUUAAGGGUUUUGUUAGA